RNAcentral lists this ribosomal RNA (253 nucleotides) under uncultured bacterium. RNAcentral describes it as "partial 16S ribosomal RNA". It matches the Rfam family "Bacterial small subunit ribosomal RNA", at positions 524 to 776 of the family's 1533-position model. The record is from RNAcentral.
UACAGAGGGGGCAAGCGUUGUUCGGAAUUACUGGGCGUAAAGCGUGCGUAGGCGGUUCGUUAAGUCAGCUGUGAAAGCCCCGGGCUCAACCUGGGAAUUGCGGUUGAAACUGGCGAACUAGAAUCUGGCAGAGGGGGGUGGAAUUCCACGUGUAGCAGUGAAAUGCGUAGAGAUGUGGAGGAACACCGAUGGCGAAGGCAGCCCCCUGGGCUGAGAUUGACGCUCAGGCACGAAAGCGUGGGGAGCAAACAGG